ACCAAAUGAUAGAUACUAUUCUCCAUUUCUUAGAAAUGAUGAAAUAAAACCGCAAAAUGUACAAAGUCAGAUCUAAAACCCAUACCUUUGGGUCCAGACUUUUCUUCUAAAGUUCUGCAGUUACACCCAGAUGCUGCAGACACAUAGGAUCUUAGAGGGGAAGUAACUUAAUCUACUCAAUGAGAAGACAACAAGGAUGAAGACCUUUAUGAUGAUUUACUUCCACUUAAUGAAUAUCUUUAGUUCCUACCUGACAUGAUUUAUCCUCUGGAAGAAAACAAAUCCUGUGAUGACCAGAACGACCACAAAAAGAGAGAGUUUCACAUAAAGAAUGAUCAGUAAGUCCAAUGCUGGAGAUCCUGAGCUUCUGAGACCUAUAAAUACAGACAGGGGUAAAAAAAUCAUUUCAAGGAUUCUUCCAAUUACAAAUUAGAGUCAAACAUUUUAAAGAACAUUUUAAAAUAUUCUAAAGAGUUUACAGACUGUCAUAAUCAUGAAACCUUCUAACUUACAACUCAAAUGUUACUGAUACAUCAUUCUUCCAUGACAGAGUUUAGGAACCACGUUUGUGUUUUAUACCUUGUAGGUUUCCGACAAAUAUUUUCUGAACAAAUAAAUGCACACUAUGCAUUGCUAAUACUUUCCAAUUUUAUAAGAAAGGCAAUAUGUCAAGCUUUCCCCAGUAUAUUCCAACUUCC
Piliocolobus tephrosceles (Ugandan red Colobus) is the source of this 698-nucleotide long non-coding RNA. RefSeq lists it as uncharacterized. The record is from RefSeq and is a predicted model, not a curated record. The transcript has 3 exons. NCBI's taxonomy places the organism in Eukaryota, Metazoa, Chordata, Mammalia, Primates, Cercopithecidae.